Styela clava is the source of this 472-nucleotide non-coding RNA. Lineage: Eukaryota; Metazoa; Chordata; Ascidiacea; Stolidobranchia; Styelidae. The record is from RefSeq and is a predicted model, not a curated record.
AUAAUAUCCUAUUUUUUUCAGAGUAACAAAGCUCAGCCUUCUGUUCUCUCUACUUUACAAUCUACAACUUCUAGGAAUCCUGCCGAUCUCAUUCAACACUGUUGUUCUUCUACAACUAACAGUGAUGUUCGUGAUAUCGGCUUCUUCCAAGUUUGGCGUCAACUUUGAUCCGUUCCAUCGAAUUGAGAAGAUAAUCACAAGUUGUGUGAUAGAUUAUUCUGCGUAUGGGGGAGCUGAGGAGGAAAAAUUCCCUCAGAAAAAAGCCGGGGAGGAAAAAUCCCCUGAGAAGAAAAAAGAUUCUUUGAAAAAGAAAGAAUAAGUCCAUAGCUUUGCCGCAAAUUGAAAAUGUUUCAUCUCAAAGAAGUGGAUUCGACAUUCUUUUGACUUGGAAUGCAGUAUCUGACAGAAACGUUCUAUACAACAUAGAAAUCUUCUAUGAUGAUGAAAAACAUGGAGAGACUCACACUACAGA